RNAcentral lists this ribosomal RNA (465 nucleotides) under Vreelandella stevensii. Its description in RNAcentral is "partial 16S ribosomal RNA". It matches the Rfam family "Bacterial small subunit ribosomal RNA", at positions 338 to 795 of the family's 1533-position model. Lineage: Bacteria; Pseudomonadati; Pseudomonadota; Gammaproteobacteria; Oceanospirillales; Halomonadaceae. The record is from RNAcentral.
CCUACGGGUGGCUGCAGUGGGGAAUAUUGGACAAUGGGGGCAACCCUGAUCCAGCCAUGCCGCGUGUGUGAAGAAGGCCCUCGGGUUGUAAAGCACUUUCAGUGAGGAAGAACGCCUGGUGGUUAAUACCCAUCAGGAAAGACAUCACUCACAGAAGAAGCACCGGCUAACUCCGUGCCAGCAGCCGCGGUAAUACGGAGGGUGCGAGCGUUAAUCGGAAUUACUGGGCGUAAAGCGCGCGUAGGUGGCUUGAUAAGCCGGUUGUGAAAGCCCCGGGCUCAAUCUGGGAACGGCAUCCGGAACUGUCAAGCUAGAGUGCAGGAGAGGAAGGUAGAAUUCCCGGUGUAGCGGUGAAAUGCGUAGAGAUCGGGAGGAAUACCAGUGGCGAAGGCGGCCUUCUGGACUGACACUGACACUGAGGUGCGAAAGCGUGGGUAGCAAACAGGAUUAGAUACCCUUGUAGUC